RNAcentral lists this ribosomal RNA (253 nucleotides) under uncultured bacterium. RNAcentral describes it as "partial 16S ribosomal RNA". It matches the Rfam family "Bacterial small subunit ribosomal RNA", at positions 524 to 776 of the family's 1533-position model. The record is from RNAcentral.
UACGGAGGGAGCUAGCGUUGUUCGGAAUUACUGGGCGUAAAGCGUACGUAGGCGGCUUUGUAAGUUAGAGGUGAAAGCCCGGGGCUCAACUCCGGAAUUGCCUUUAAGACUGCAUCGCUUGAAUCAUGGAGAGGUGAGUGGAAUUCCGAGUGUAGAGGUGAAAUUCGUAGAUAUUCGGAAGAACACCAGUGGCGAAGGCGACUCACUGGACAUGUAUUGACGCUGAGGUACGAAAGCGUGGGGAGCAAACAGG